This 4810-nucleotide long non-coding RNA is filed under the name Aplysia californica (California sea hare). RNAcentral's name for it is "uncharacterized LOC118477439". Lineage: Eukaryota; Metazoa; Mollusca; Gastropoda; Aplysiida; Aplysiidae. The record is from RNAcentral.
UUAGAAGAGAAAGACCAGGCAUUAGAAGAGAAAAACCAGGCACUCUUCACCAAAGAUCUACAGCUGUCUAUGCUGAGACAAGAGUUACAAGAAAUGCGUGAACGUCAAAGACCUCGGUCAGCUCCCCUGGACAGACUGGACUUUGAGACAGAAGACCAAUCUGACGACCCGGAUGUGAGAGAGGGUCAGAACAGUAGUCAUAUUGAAGAUGUAAAUCUGAUGUCUUGCCCAAUGUGUCAUGAUGCGCCCAUCCAAGUUUUGCUGCGUCCAUGUAAACAUCUGUGUGGCUGUGCUCUGUGUGUCUCCAAACUGGACGGACGAUGUCCUUAUUGUAGACGCUUCACCACUGGGAUGGAGAAAGUUUUUGUCCCAUGAGGAUAAAUAUUGAUACUUUUUUUUAUACGUGUUACAUGAUAGAUUCUCUUGAAAUGAGAGACUUUGCAUUUUAAAUUGCUCUUUUAUAAAUUAUUUAAAUUUGGGUUGUUUCGUCUGGUUGUAAAUUAUGACUAUUUUACCCAACCUAACAUGACUUAAGGCUCUGUUGUGAUAGAUAAUCCCCUUACCUUAGAAAAGAGACAUGUCUCCUCGAAAUAUUAAUUAAACAGGAUAAAAAUUUCUUUUGUAAUAAAUUACAAGUAAAUCUAGAUUUGGGCCAAUUGCGAAGGGGAAACUGCCAGAUGAUUUUGUGGAAGAUAGCUACGCAGUCGAGUGUUUUGAAGACAGGUGAUGGUGGGCAAAUUGAUGGGAUUGGUUUUAAAGAUUAAAAACUGUUUAAAUGGCUUCUACAUAAAUGGUACCGUACUUUGUACACCAGAUUUCUCAAAAUUAACUUUUGGUGAGACAUUGUUCAUACUGAGAGAAUAGUCUCAUGCUCAUAGUGUGUGAACUGUUGAUGUCUAUUCUAAGUAACCUGUCAUGUUUCAAAUUCAGGAUGAUAAUGAUUUAGGAACCAUAUUUGACACUUUUUCUAGAUAAACACCACUUGUCCAAGUCACAGGCAUCUCUAGUGUCCUUGUUAGGCUCUUUGUCAUAGGACGCAAAUAACCUGAGUCAGAGCGCACAUGGAAUCUUUUUUGUCAAGUAUCUCCUUUCUCUCUGCCGAGAUGCUGUAGGCCUACCACUCUCAGCCUGGGUUGGUCCUCACAGUAGGAUUAGAAAGCCAGCUUCAUUAAUGCUCUAAAUUGUAUUGAUGGGGUCAUAAAACAGUUUGGUUUUUUAAAAGUAAGUCGUUUGUAGCUGACUGUCUUAAAUUUGGGGUUUUUCGACAAGGAUAUUCUGAUCUCAUACAAGAGGGCAAAAACACAAAUAUGCUGUUUUUUGUUUUUUUUCUCAUUUUGUCUUGUCCUCGUUACAAAAACACACAGGUCUAAACUAUUGUUUCUGUCAUACUUUUGAUCUAUUUUUUUCUUCAAUUAAUUCAUUACCAUGUUGACCCUCGCAUGUUUUUUUUAAAGUCAUUGCUAAAGUUGUUGUGUAAAGUCUUGAUAUAAAAUUGCGAAUUUCUUCCAAUGCAGAUACAUUGCAUCCUGAACAAAAGGUCUCUUCAUUUGUCAAGUCUUACUUCAUUUUACAAUUGUUGCAAGCUUAUUUCAAGCAGACAGUGUUUACUUUAUUUGUAAUAUAUUUUUUGUUUCAACGUGGUGUCUUGUUUAUAGUACAUAAUAUGCUCUACACAUGUUGCAAACCAUAGUUUUACUGAUAAAAUACAAAUGCACUGCCCAAAAAGGCUAUUGAUAUGAUUCUUUAUAUAUAUGACGCAAAUAAAUUUAGAAUGUUAGGCAUGAUAUGGUCCAUCCUAUGAAUUCGCAAAAGUUGGCAGCAGAUAUUUUCAUUAGUCAUUUAGGAACAUGCCCAUUGUCACAUUACUCACAUCAUUGUUUCAGAUCAUACAAGAGGACUUUAACAGAAAAUCUUUAAGUGCUCAUGAUUUAUUUGCAGUCAUAAUAAUUGGUUGGGAAAACGCACUUACUCGUACGAUAUAAAGUGAGACAAUGCAGUGCAUAGCAAAAAUUAACUCUGUACACACAAACUUUGCCAGGGAACAUGAUGUUCAUUAAUGUUCUUGAAUAUUUUUAUGAGACUGUUAUGAUUCUCCUGAUUUGUCCCUCUGUGAAAAAGAGUAAGAAAUGUACACCUGUUACAUUUGUCUAUAAAAUGGAACUAACUAUCCUUUUGCAUUUUGUGGCCCUAGUUAUCCGGCAUUUUUUGUAGGCCUAUUUAUAAAAUGAGAACAACCCUUCAGUUUUUUUCUUUUUCCCUUCUAAGCAUCACAUUUAUUGGCACUGUAGAAAUACCAACUGAAAAUGUCUUUUAAGUGAAAUUUUUACACAAAUUUUUAUCAAUUUAAUUUCUUUUUCCUUCUACAUUUCUUUUACCUUGGUACGGUACUCCAAGCAAACAGACCACACCUUUGAUAGUUUUAUUUAUGAGAAUUAUUGAUUUUGAAUGGCAGCUGUGCAUCUUUUUAAAAUUUUUACCAUCAAGGACAUUUUUGUAGAUUUAAAGGACUCGAAAGAUUAGUUUGAUGUGGAGAUUCCUGUGCCACAGGAGUGAUGGCCCAUGUUAGUGUAUGGCAUUUACUGUUAUUUGGAAGGAGAAGUAAUCAUCUCAGCAUAAAAAAGGUAGUUUGUCUAGAAACUCCUGCACAAGCUUUUUUAUAUACUCUUUUUGUUAUCUGCAGUAUUGUUUUAAGGAUUGUAUUUGUAUUUGUUGGAUUGAAGUACAGUUGUCUCCGCCUAAGAUCCCAGUGCUCAGGAGCAAGGAAAAUGCUGGAUCUUAGGCGAAUGGAAUCUUCGCUGACGAACCCAGGAAGGAACCUACGGAGACCCAUGUUAAGGCUCACAAUCGGUAAAAUGGUCUCCCUUCACUCUGAAAUUAACUGAUGUGACCCUUGAGUGGGUUUAUGACAUGGUGAGCAAAGAGUUGUCAAUUUUGAUGACCAAUGACAGUGGCAUGAGGCAUGCCAUUUAUACUUAUUAUCCUAUCGUGAGUUUCGAGAUCUAGUGAAAUGGAGAGCUCAGAUGCGAGUGCGAUGUUUGAGGAUAACAAAUGCGAUGGUCAGUUCACACCUCGGUGUGAUCCCGUCUGGGGCAAACAUUGUACUGUUUUAUCAAGUUUUACAACGCUUAUGUGAUCACAUUCCAGGGAGUGACUGACCUUUGACGCGAGGGGCAGUUCAUUGAUCUCAACUUUUCACUCUUGGUUGAUCAGCUGUGCCCGCCUGGGAUUUUGUUCCAUAAAUUAUGAUCUGAAAUGCAGGGUCUUACCCGAAUGUAGUAUGUAGACCUUCAGAGUGAAUAAGAGCAGGAUCUUAAGGGUGACUUUUGUAUAGUAAAAAUUUUGUUUUCUUAAAACAGCGGGAUCUUAUUAAGCGAAACAGGAUCGUAAGCAGUGGGAUCUUAGGCGGAGACUACCGUAUAUUGUUACUACUAUAUUUACUUAUGGCUGAUUUAUUAAUUAUUUAAUUAUUAUUAUUUCACUUCUCACAUGGUUUGUUUUGAUUUGGGGGGGGGGGUGGAUUUGAAUUGUACAUUACUGUAGAAACUUUUGAAACUGUCUUUUACAUUACUGCCCAUGUUACAAAACAUUUGAACCAAGUAUUUAUACUUAAUUUUUACCGGUCCUGUGACCAUUUUGUUUUGGUUUCAUGACUAAAAUUGUGUCAAUUUGUUCACAUGAAAUGCUCUAUUGUAAAAAUUUUCAUAAGUUCAUUUAUCACAGAUCAUCAUGGCAUUUCAGUGCUGAGUUAUUAUUAUGCAAUUUCUCAUACUUUCCGGAGUUUGGUGAUACUGUAUAAUCAGUCUUGGAUUUGUGUUUGUUUUUAUCAGUUAAUGGUAUUAGUCACAUGGCAUGAAGUUUGUUUCUGAUAUGUUAUAGCAAUAAUUUGUCACAAUUUGUGAUCUUUUGUUGAUAAAGAAUUUGUUGUUGCUUAUUCUGGAAAAAGCAACAACUUCUAUUUGUUUCUCUUCCAGACGUUUUUUUCUUUUUUAAAACACGAUUUAUUUCUGGUCUCCAUUGCAUGAUUGGCAGCUGUAUGUUUGGUCAGUCUGUAUAUAUAUAUAUAUAUAUAUAAAACAUUUUUCCAAAUUGUACAUGGUUAAUAUAAAUCUGACUCUCUGUGUGUGGUUCUAUGUGCUUGCACUUGCAUCUGUGUAUGAGAGUAGAUUCAAUAGUGGCAGCAUCUGUGAUGUAAUGGUUAAGUGCAUCGCCUUGCUGUCAAGGGACUCAAGUUUGAUUUCUAUAUGGGGAAAGCGUUUCCAUCUUUUAUCUAUGAUAUAUAUAUAUAUAUAUCCCACUCUGUCUAUGUUAACCCUGACAGAUAGGGCUAAAGUUGCCUAUUUCUAAAUGAACUAUAUAGGGGGGGGGGGAAGGGUUGUAAUAUUCUAUCACAUAUUACUAUAAAAGAGGAAUAUAAUGGAGAAAGAUGGAUGGAAUAGAAAGACAUAUUGGGAAAGGGGUAUAGUAUACUUAUCGCAUAUUACUCUAUAAAAAUGGAAUACAACAGAGAAAGAUGGUAACAUAGGAAGAGAAUGAUAAAGUGGUUGGACUGGAAGGCAUGAGAGGAUGCGGAUCAUGCCUCCAUAGACACAAUUCAGUUAAUCUAAAAGGUAGGCUACCUUGACCCUUCCUGUCAGAGCCAACCUGUGAAUAGUGGGGUACAGCAUCCCAGUACACAGGUGGAGGUAUUCUGUUAAAUAUACUAUCCCUCUUUGAAUCAAACCCAAGGCUUCUAUGUGCAAGGCAAAGAGCUUUACCCUUACACCAGAGACAGCAAUAAAAGAGAGAAAGGUGUGAGACAGUACAGACCAAA